This 659-nucleotide transfer RNA is filed under the name uncultured Prochlorococcus sp. RNAcentral describes it as "partial 16S-23S ribosomal RNA intergenic spacer". The stretch from base 252 to 324 matches the Rfam family "tRNA". Lineage: Bacteria; Bacillati; Cyanobacteriota; Cyanophyceae; Synechococcales; Prochlorococcaceae. The record is from RNAcentral.
UCGGGCUCUCCCACGUACACUGAUAAGUAGGUCAUGAUCUUGUCACCCUAAGUUCGAUCAGAACCUCAAAUUGAUACGUACAUAAAAAGUUUGAUUAACUCAGGAUCAGAUAUUAGUGUUGAUAUCAGCUCCUACACUUGUUUAGGUCACACCCAACAAGGUUACUCCUGGGCCAUUAGCUCAGGUGGCUAGAGCGCACCCUGAUAAGGGUGAGGUCCCUGGUUCAAGUCCAGGAUGGCCCAUUCGUUGUUGGGGGUUUAGCUCAGUUGGUAGAGCGCGUGCUUUGCAAGCAGGAUGUCAGCGGUUCGAGUCCGCUAACCUCCACUGAUCUACCUCCUGUGAAUAAGCAAUGGAGGAAGUCUUGUUGAUGUGAUUUAGAUUAUUUUGCUGACAAAGACCCUAGCUUCCUAUCAUUCAAAAUUUGAAUUACAUUUUUUUAGAUUUUGUUGAUAAGACGCUGGGCUCACUGUGGUUCAACAGAACUGCAGAGAAGUCUGGCAGAACCUUGACAACUGCAUAGGUGAGUCUGGAAAGAAUAAAGCAUCUCAUGGAUGCAUUAUUCUUCAAAAUUAGAUUAGGUAAUUGUGAAAGCAAUUAACCUAAGUUGAUUUAGAUGAAUAGUGUUUAAUUCUUGAGUCAAGAGCUGAGACUCUAUAGCU